Lathyrus oleraceus (garden pea) is the source of this 108-nucleotide small nucleolar RNA. NCBI's taxonomy places the organism in Eukaryota, Viridiplantae, Streptophyta, Magnoliopsida, Fabales, Fabaceae. The record is from RefSeq and is a predicted model, not a curated record.
AAGUCGUGAUGUGGGCAUAGUCUCAUCAUAUCUUUAUACCUUUCUCAGGCGUCAAAGAGAGAUUCUUAAUCAACUUAUCUAAAACAAGCGAUUUGAUUUCUUAAAACU